RNAcentral lists this long non-coding RNA (2347 nucleotides) under Fragaria vesca (wild strawberry). RNAcentral's name for it is "long non-coding RNA (FVES_LNC004757)". Lineage: Eukaryota; Viridiplantae; Streptophyta; Magnoliopsida; Rosales; Rosaceae. The record is from RNAcentral.
AUAAUAUAUAAUUGACAGCAAGAAGAUCAUUUACCUGAUCACUGUGAAAUCUGAUAGUGCUACCAAUAAAACAGCAAAAUGCGAGAUAUAGAUCAAUUAGGAAGGAUCCUGCAAUCAACAAUAAACCCAAUAUUCAUUAUAUAUAACUAACCAAAAACCAAGAAGACAUUAUCUUGACAAAAAGAUAACUACACUUACGAAAUAUCUUAAUGACAUGCUAAUAUGAAUGUUUCAAUUAAUGAGUCCAUAAAGCUUACACCUAGUGUACAUACUCUUAACCAGGAGACCCUAAACUCCUAAAAAAAAUUUCUUUUUUUUUGUCAAAAGAAGUUCUAUUUCUUUUUCUUUGUCCUAAAAUUCCAAGUUGUAGAAUAGGCAUGCAUACAGAACCAAAUAGCAAAAAAAGAGACCUAAAUCUUUCGCCAUCCAGAAUAAUAUAGUUAGUUCCCUGAUUCUUAGCACCAAACACUGAAAUAGCAAAGCCAGUUAACUGAUUUGGGAAAAAAAAAUACUGAAAAGAAAUCGACUAUCUUCUAGAUCAAAAGCAAUUCUCAACAGUCAUCUUCUAAAUCAUGAUUCAAAAACACAAUGAACAACCACAAAGGAUUAGGCACAUACCUUAUAUACAAACUUCAAAUACCCAAAGAUCACUGAUUGUGAAUCUAUCAAAAACAAAAAAUUCUGAUUAGUAUUCGGAAUUUAUACUUCAAACAAUACCCAUCGUAAUAAAACAUACAAAACCCAAAGUUGCAAAAUACUGAUAUGGAAUCUCAAAUCUACUUAUGGAAAACUGCUGAAGUCCAAAAGAUUUUAUAAACGAACAUAGUGAUAAUAGUUUGCCUAAUCAAUGCUUGCUUUUGGUAAAUCGAAAAUAAAAUCCAAUCAUGCAACUUCUUUGACAAAAAAAGGGUUUGGAAACACUAAAAGAAACUCGUAUCGUAUCGAGUAAACUCAUAUCAUAUCAUACAGCCUUCAGACAAAAACCAAAAAAUACCCAUAGCAUCAACCCAACAUUCAAAUACUGUGAUUUUGAAAACCAUUUAAAUACACAGAAAUAAAACUUGUCAAGCAUACCUGAUUUGAAUGAUGUAGACUGACUGUAACAUCAACCAUAAGUUGCAAUUUGCAAAGGGACUAUAGGCAGCCAAGUUACUCAAAGCUUGUGAUCUAUAUUUUGCGAUCAUAUCAUAUAUACUACUGCUUUCAUAUAUAAUUCCUACUGGCAGCUAUUCCACCUCAUAAAUUCAAUUGGGAAUGAAGAGUUUAUAAUGAUCCCAAUAUAAAAGACUCGUUGGGAUAUAAAAUAGAGAUAAGUAUUAUAGAUAUAUUUGCUAUAUUAAGUAAAAAUUGGCUUCUUUUACGAAUAUGUAAUCUAUUGGUUCUAUUAAAUUAUGUAAUCCCAACAAACGCACUGACUGACAAUAACUAUUACUUUCCUUUUACAGGUGAGAACAUAUUCAAGGGAAGAAGUCUGAACAAUAAGAGAGAUCAUUCAUAAUGUCAUUUUUUUUAGCGCAUGACAUGCCCUGACCAAUACAAACCAAAUAUAGUCUUCAAUUGAUUAAUCCUAGCACCAAAUUGAAUCAACUUUCUAAUCGAAUAAGCUACAUGUGUCAGGUAUUAAUAAAUUUUUUUGUUUCAUUCAAAAAAAAAAAAAAGCUACAUAUUUGGCCGACUUCCGAAACUGACCAAGCAGCUGGCAAGUAACUAUUGAUAGAUUUCUGUCCAAAAUCAUGCUGUCCCAGCUAUAUCUCACAGGACUAAAGCACAACCCAAAAUAGUAACACUCCUCCCAUUUUUAUUAUGUGUUUCAACAAUUGAUAAUUAACCAAAAGAAAACGUGUUUAUAGUUCCUAUGUAGAUAAUUAACAUGCUUCCAUGCUUCCAUUUUUAUUAUGUGUUGCAAAUUCAUAUGCAGUAGAAAGUACAAACCCAUAAGCAACUGGAGAUAACCAACAACUCUAUCAAAGGUGGAGAGGAUUUGCAACUCCUACUGAUUAUAUUGCUAAAAUCAAAACUCAAACAAAAUUCAAUUAGAAGAGAAUGGAUUUAGAAAUCUAAACACAAACACAUAACCCAACAUCAAAAACCCAAAACCACUUUCUUCUCCUGCCAUUGACGAACCCAACACCAGAAUCCUAAAACCCCAAAAUCAGUCUACAUCAUUCAAUCCCAGAACGCAGAAACAAAAUCCUAUAUUGUGCUUAGAAAUCUAAACACAAACACAGAACCCAAUAUUAGAAACCAAAAUCACUUUCUUCUCCUGCCUUUGACAAACCCAACAUAAGAAUCCUAAAACCCCAAAUCAGUCUACAUCAUUCAAUCCCAGAACGCAGAAACGACAAAU